AUUGAACGCUGGCGGCAUGCCUUACACAUGCAAGUCGAACGCGAAAGAGGGGGCAACCCCCCGAGUAGAGUGGCGAACGGGUGAGUAAUACAUCGGAACGUGUCCAGUAGCGGGGGAUAACCUCUCGAAAGAGAGGCUAAUACCGCAUACGACCUACGGGUGAAAGAGGGGGAUCGCAAGACCUCUCACUAUUGGAGCGGCCGAUGUCGGAUUAGCUAGUUGGCGGGGUAAAAGCCCACCAAGGCGACGAUCCGUAGCUGGUCUGAGAGGACGACCAGCCACACUGGAACUGAGACACGGUCCAGACUCCUACGGGAGGCAGCAGUGGGGAAUUUUGGACAAUGGGCGCAAGCCUGAUCCAGCCAUGCCGCGUGAGUGAAGAAGGCCUUCGGGUUGUAAAGCUCUUUCGGCGGGGACGAAAAGGUCCGUGUUAACACCAUGGAUCCAUGACGGUACCCGCAGAAGAAGCGCCGGCUAACUACGUGC
This 486-nucleotide ribosomal RNA is filed under the name uncultured bacterium. RNAcentral describes it as "bacterial SSU rRNA". It matches the Rfam family "Bacterial small subunit ribosomal RNA", at positions 29 to 508 of the family's 1533-position model. The record is from RNAcentral.